UACGAGUGCCCCAAGCGUUAUCCGGAAUCAUUGGGCGUAAAGGGUGUGUAGGUUGUUUUGUUAGUCUUCUGUCAAAUUCUUCGGCUCAACCGGGGGUCCGCAGAGGAAACGGCAAAACUGGAGGGUGUGAGAGGUGAAUGGAACUCAUGGUGUAGGGGUGAAAUCCGUUGAUAUCAUGGGGAACACCAAAUGCGAAGGCAAUUCACUGGCACAUUCCUGACACUGAAACACGAAAGCGUGGGUAGCGAAUGGG
Molecule: ribosomal RNA, 253 nt
Filed under: uncultured bacterium
Lineage: Bacteria
Description: partial 16S ribosomal RNA
Rfam family: Bacterial small subunit ribosomal RNA
Source: RNAcentral